Molecule: transfer RNA, 60 nt
Filed under: Echiniscus testudo
Lineage: Eukaryota; Metazoa; Tardigrada; Heterotardigrada; Echiniscoidea; Echiniscidae
Description: tRNA-Phe
Source: RNAcentral
AAUUAAAUAGCUUAAAUAAAGCAAUUCUUUGAAGAAGAAUAGAUGUUAUAACUUUAAUUA